Long non-coding RNA from Hordeum vulgare subsp. vulgare (domesticated barley), 409 nucleotides. RefSeq lists it as uncharacterized. The transcript is spliced from 2 exons. NCBI's taxonomy places the organism in Eukaryota, Viridiplantae, Streptophyta, Magnoliopsida, Poales, Poaceae. The record is from RefSeq and is a predicted model, not a curated record.
GUGUAGAAGCACACAAAGCUCAGCUAGCUAAAAUGGCUUCAAAGUCUCUGGCCUUCCUGUGCGUCCUCUUCGCCUUCAUCGUCAUCGUCUCGCAAGGCAUGGUUGCUGCUAGGGAUCUCACGCAUGUUAACAGAGCAGGAGGUAACAACUACGGUGGUGGCUGGUCGGGCUCCUACGGAGGACGACGCCCAUGACGGAUGUUCUUCGUGAGAAUCUGGCAAAUAAAUGCAGUUCCGGUUUGCUUUGCAGAUCAUUCAUGUGUAUGGUAAUGUGUGGUAUGUAGUUUCUGUAUACAAGCAAGCUAGGUAGAUAUCUGGAGUGGUUUUCGACUUGCGAGGGAGUGGUAUAUAUGUGUGCUGUGUACUCUGGACGAACUUGAAUCGAAUGUAUCGACCGUUCUGGUGCUUAA